AAUCUGCCCUCCACUUUGGGAUAACUCCGGGAAACCGGGGCUAAUACCGAAUAUUGAAACAUAAGUGGCAUCACUGAGUUUUGAAAGAAUUUCGGUGGAGGAUGACUUCGCGGCCUAUCAGCUUGUUGGUGAGGUAAUGGCUCACCAAGGCGACGACGGGUAGCCGGCCUGAGAGGGCGACCGGCCACACUGGGACUGAGACACGGCCCAGACUCCUACGGGAGGCAGCAGUGGGGAAUAUUGGGCAAUGGACGCAAGUCUGACCCAGCGACGCCGCGUGCGG
Molecule: ribosomal RNA, 283 nt
Filed under: uncultured bacterium
Lineage: Bacteria
Description: partial 16S ribosomal RNA
Rfam family: Bacterial small subunit ribosomal RNA
Source: RNAcentral